UGCUUGCACCUGGUGGAUGAGUGGCGAACGGGUGAGUAAUACGUGAGUGACCUUCCUUGGACUCUGGGAUAAGCCCGGGAAACUGGGUCUAAUACCGGAUACGACCAGUCCUCGCAUGGGGUGCUGGUGGAAAGGGUUUGUACUGGUUCUUGAUGGGCUCACGUCCUAUCAGCUUGUUGGUGAGGUAAUGGCUUACCAAGGCGACGACGGGUAGCCGGCCUGAGAGGGUGACCGGCCACACUGGGACUGAGACACGGCCCAGACUCCUACGGGAGGCAGCAGUGGGGAAUAUUGCACAAUGGGCGCAAGCCUGAUGCAGCGACGCCGCGUGGGGGAUGACGGCCUUCGGGUUGUAAACCUCUUUCAGCAGGGAAGAAGCGAAAGUGACGGUACCUGCAGAAGAAGCGCCGGCUAACUACGUGCCAGCAGCCGCGGUAAUACGUAGGGCGCAAGCGUUGUCCGGAAUUAUUGGGCGUAAAGAGCUCGUAGGCGGUUUGUCGCGUCUGCUGUGAAAGCCCGGGGCUCAACCCCGGGUGUGCAGUGGGUACGGGCAGGCUGGAGUGCAGUAGGGGAGACUGGAAUUCCUGGUGUAGCGGUGAAAUGCGCAGAUAUCAGGAGGAACACCGAUGGCGAAGGCAGGUCUCU
Molecule: ribosomal RNA, 645 nt
Filed under: Rothia koreensis
Lineage: Bacteria; Bacillati; Actinomycetota; Actinomycetes; Micrococcales; Micrococcaceae
Description: bacterial SSU rRNA
Rfam family: Bacterial small subunit ribosomal RNA
Source: RNAcentral